AACGUAGGACACGAGCGUUAUCCGGAGUUACUGGGCGUAAAGGGCGGGUAGGUGGUGCGAUAAGACUGGUGUGAAAGCCUUCGGCUUAACCGAGGGAGGACACUGGUGACUGUCGGACUUGAGGCAGAUAGAGGGGUGUAGAAUUCCGGGUGUAGUGGUGAAAUGCGCAGAUAUCAGGAAGAACACCAAUGGCGAAAGCAGCUCUCUGGGGACGGUACUGACGCUGAGACGCGGAAGCGUGGGGAGCGAACAGG
RNAcentral lists this ribosomal RNA (254 nucleotides) under uncultured bacterium. RNAcentral describes it as "partial 16S ribosomal RNA". It matches the Rfam family "Bacterial small subunit ribosomal RNA", at positions 524 to 776 of the family's 1533-position model. The record is from RNAcentral.